Molecule: non-coding RNA, 525 nt
Organism: Zonotrichia albicollis (white-throated sparrow)
Lineage: Eukaryota; Metazoa; Chordata; Aves; Passeriformes; Passerellidae
Source: RefSeq, a predicted model, not a curated record
ACCUCCACAUCCCAACUUCUCCAAGGUGCCUCUGGAAUCCCUGGGGUGACAAUGAAAUCUCCCUAUCCCAACUUCUCCAAGGUCAGAUGGUGCCUCUGGAAUCUCUGGGGUGACAGUGACACCUCCCUAUCCCAAUUUCUCCAAGGUCAGAUGGUGCCUCUGGAGUGACAGCAAUGCCUCCCUAUCCCACCUUCUCCCAGGUCAGCUGCUGUCUCUGGAAUCUCCAGAGUGACAGAAAUGCCUCCAUAUCCCAACUUCUCCUAGGUCAGAUGAUGAUACCUCUGAAGUGACAGCAACACCUCUAUAUCCCAACUUCUUCUCCAAGGUGCCUCUGGAAUCUCUGGAGUGACAGCAAUGCCUCCCUAUCCCCACUCCUCCAAGGUCAGCUGCUGUCUCUGGAAUCUCAGGAGUGACAGUGACACCUCCCUCUCCCAACUUCUCCAAGGUGCCUCUGGAAUCCCUGGGGUGACAAUGAAAUCUCCCUAUCCCAACUUCUCCAAGGUGAACUGCUGCCUCUGGAGUGAC